RNAcentral lists this transfer RNA (83 nucleotides) under Spirochaetaceae bacterium. RNAcentral describes it as "tRNA-Leu". It matches the Rfam family "tRNA". From Rfam's summary of the family: Transfer RNA (tRNA) molecules are approximately 80 nucleotides in length. Their secondary structure includes four short double-helical elements and three loops (D, anti-codon, and T loops). Lineage: Bacteria; Pseudomonadati; Spirochaetota; Spirochaetia; Spirochaetales; Spirochaetaceae. The record is from RNAcentral.
GCCGGGGUGGUGGAAUGGUAGACACCGGGGACUUAAAAUCCCCUCCCAGUAAUGGGGUGUGAGUUCGAAUCUCAUCCCCGGCA